This 1358-nucleotide long non-coding RNA is filed under the name Carassius auratus (goldfish). RNAcentral describes it as "lncRNA (ENSCARG00000021213.1)". The record is from RNAcentral. Lineage: Eukaryota; Metazoa; Chordata; Actinopteri; Cypriniformes; Cyprinidae.
CUGCCCUUGAUUAUUUGAGUUAAUUCACCUGUGUCUUGUUAUAGAUCCUCAUUUGGUCCAUGUGUUUAAGGUACUCCCUUUCUGUUCAUUGUUGUUGGUUCUUGAAUGUCUAUACCUGCUCUGUCUGGAUUACCUUCUUGUGGAUUAUUCACGAGUUCACCCUUACUGUAACCGGAAUGAGUAUGUUGUGCGGUUAGGUAGGUAGAUGACGUAAUGGGUAGGUGGCGUAUAAAGUCUCGCGGGCGUCAAGGAAACAGCGUUUGCUCUCGUUCUACGCUUGGUGAGCGAGUUUGUGCUUCUUCCUCUGCUGGCGCGUUGAAGGAACGACUUGACCUAUUGUGUCCGAAAACUCGGAGAUUGUUCCGGUUUUAAUGAUCGAGGUGAGAGCAGAGUGCACUUGUCAUUUUGCGCUUUGUUACGACCACUGGACGUAAGUAAUGAUUAAGCUAGUUUUUAAAGACUUAUACACUUUAAGUAUCCUUUAAAGGAGCAUUAAUACAUUAGCAACGUGAGUAUUUUCUGGAUUGUCAAAUGUAGAAUGUGGUGUGUAAUAAAAUUUAAAUGGUUUUAAUUACAGGACAUCAAAACCUUCUUUGGCAAGUGGCCAUCGUUUUUUUCCCCACCAAACUUGGGAUUUGGUUGUUUUGUUUUGUUUUAUUUGUGGCAUUCAUUUUGCAGGAUCUGCCUGUUUUAUUUGAAUGGUAGAGUGCUGUAUUGGGAGGCCUUGUUUGAUUUGUGUGUUUUACGUAUAAUGGUUUGAUUGGGUUUGAUUUUUAUUUUCUUUAUAUUUUUUUGAUUGGGUUUGACUUUUGGGUUUGUUUUUUUUCUUCCUCCCAUGUGGUAUAUUUCCCAUUUUAGUAUUCUAGGUUGAUUUGGGUGUUAUUUUGAGUGCCAUUCUUAUGUUUUCUUUUGGGUUAAAGUAUGAUUUCUCUGUUUAAUUAAUGUGAAUAUCAGUCUAAUGAUUGGUUUCUCUUAUUGAAUGUUGUUAGAUUUCGAUUUGUUUGGAGUGUUAUUUCUUUUGGAAAUUAAUUUGGUUUACUUUAAAUCCAUUCAGAGUGGUGUUUAAUUGUUGUAAUUAGUUUAUUUUUUUUAUUGGUUUCUUUGGUGUCAUGGAUGGUUUUACCAAGUCCUUCUACUCUUAAGAGAAGAUAAAAUUUUGCUCAUUCUGGAAAAUAAAGCAACCCUUUUUGUACUCUGGCUUCUAGUUCAUUUAUUUGAACCACCUGUGUGAUUCAAAGAAAAAACAAAAAAGAGAUUAGAUCAUUGUUAGGGUCCCACGUCCUAGAAUUUGUGGGUGGCGUAGUCAAUUUCGUCGACUAUUUUAUAACAACCAGCAAGCCUAGGUCACAUUACAUCUA